GUUUGAUCCUGGCUCAGGAUGAACGCUGGCGGUAUGCUUAACACAUGCAAGUCGAACGGGAUGCUUAGGCAUCUAGUGGCGGACGGGUGAGUAACGCGUGAGAAUCUGGCUCCAGGUCGGGGAUAACAGUUGGAAACGACUGCUAAUACCGGAUGUGCCGAGAGGUGAAAGAUUUAUUGCCUGGAGAUGAGCUCGCGUCUGAUUAGCUAGUUGGUGGUGUAAGGGACCACCAAGGCGUCGAUCAGUAGCUGGUCUGAGAGGAUGAUCAGCCACACUGGGACUGAGACACGGCCCAACUCCUACGGGAGGCAGCAGUGGGGAAUUUUCCGCAAUGGGCGAAAGCCUGACGGAGCAAUACCGCGUGAGGGAGGAAGGCUCUUGGGUCGUAAACCUCUUUUCUCAAGGAAGAAGAAAGUGACGGUACUUGAGGAAUAAGCAUCGGCUAACUCCGUGCCAGCAGCCGCGGUAAUACGGAGGAUGCAAGCGUUAUCCGGAAUGAUUGGGCGUAAAGGGUCUGCAGGUGGAACUGAAAGUCUGCUGUUAAAGAGUUUGGCUUAACCAAAUAAAAGCGGUGGAAACUACAGAACUAGAGUGCGGUAGGGGCAAAAGGAAUUCCUGGUGUAGCGGUGAAAUGCGUAGAUAUCAGGAAGAACACCGGUGGCGAAAGCGUUUUGCUAGACCGUAACUGACACUGAGGGACGAAAGCUAGGGGAGCGAAUGGGAUUAGAUACCCCAGUAGUCCUAGCCGUAAACGAUGGAUACUAGGCGUGGCUUGUAUCGACCCGAGCCGUGCCGGAGCUAACGCGUUAAGUAUCCCGCCUGGRGAGUACGCACGCAAGUGUGAAACUCAAAGGAAUUGACGGGGGCCCGCACAAGCGGUGGAGUAUGUGGUUUAAUUCGAUGCAACGCGAAGAACCUUACCAAGACUUGACAUCCUGCGAAUCCCGGUGAAAGCUGGGAGUGCCUUAGGGAGCGCAGAGACAGGUGGUGCAUGGCUGUCGUCAGCUCGUGUCGUGAGAUGUUGGGUUAAGUCCCGCAACGAGCGCAACCCUCGUUUUUAGUUGCCAGCAUUAAGUUGGGCACUCUAGAGAGACUGCCGGUGACAAACCGGAGGAAGGUGAGGAUGACGUCAAGUCAGCAUGCCCCUUACGUCUUGGGCUACACACGUACUACAAUGCUACGGACAGAGGGCAGCAAGCCAGGGAUGGCAAGCGAAUCCAGAAACCGUAGCUCAGUUCAGAUCGAAGGCUGCAACUCGCCUUCGUGAAGGAGGAAUCGCUAGUAAUUGCAGGUCAGCAUACUGCAGUGAAUUCGUUCCCGGGCCUUGUACACACCGCCCGUCACACCAUGGAAGUUGGUCACGCCCGAAGUCAUUACCCCAACCGAAAGGAGGGGGAUGCCUAAGGUAGGACUGGUGACUGGGGUGAAGUCGUAACAAGGUAGCCGU
Molecule: ribosomal RNA, 1447 nt
Filed under: Cylindrospermopsis raciborskii AWT205
Lineage: Bacteria; Bacillati; Cyanobacteriota; Cyanophyceae; Nostocales; Aphanizomenonaceae
Description: bacterial SSU rRNA
Rfam family: Bacterial small subunit ribosomal RNA
Source: RNAcentral